GCUCCUUCUCUUUCCCUUUCUUUUUUUUUUCCUUCAUUCCUCUUCUCAAACCACACGGCCACCGUGACCGCGGUCGAUAAGGGCUCCGAUGAGGGGCCAACAGCCUAAUACCCUCAUCCUCUUCAUAAUCCAAACCCCAAAGACACCCUAAAUCGACGUGAAAACCGCCUAAUGAAAUCUGAACCUACCCAAACAGACUAGCUCACCUUUCACUCGACCACGGCCACAAAGACCACGGCCGAUGCCCCUAAAUGCCCUACAUGGGCGCGAUUCACCUCUCCGUUCACCACCGUGGUGGUUACCUCCGAUGAAGGACCUGAACCGACGAGGUAAAGGCCUCACUCUUCUCUGACCGAAAAGCUAUAAAUCAACGCCUAAGGGGGCCCAAAGCGACCCUUAACCUCUCGAAACUAAAGCCCGACUGCUCACCUUCCAGCGACCGGCGACCGACGACCGACGACUAAGGACCCAGGACUCUCGGCUCCUCUCUCUGGCGAAAAUCAGCUCGGAUGAGGAACCAAACCACGCCGUAUCGGUUGAUGACUAAGCCUUUGAUGGCUUGAGUUUGUUACACAAUCCGUUGUUGAGAGAAUCAGCCCAAUUAGUAUUGCACAAUUGGCGUGAAGGAUAGGUCCCAGCUAGGUGAAUCGGUUGCUGGUGGGACCUUGCUGUUAGCUGGUAUACGGUUUGGUGACGAGGCUUGGUGGGACCAGUUGGGACUGCUCACGUAGAGGAGAGGGGACCAAUGUUGACCCGGGCAAAAUUUAGUCCACGCCGGUGGUGAUUGAAUGUUUGAUUUGCUCUGUGGGAGGUUUAGCACGCCAUGGCCAUGGCGGUGCUGAUAAAAGGAUGAUUGGGACUAGCAAAUGGAAUGAAGGAAACGGAUGGCGGUCAGAAGACACUUCUCAAGGUUCUAGAAUAUGAACUAGCUCAGCAUAACCAUCUGAAUUCUAGAAUGACAAGCUCUCAUUAAAUGAUCGCAGCCACCAGCUCAUUCAUGUAUGUUGCGGUGAUGACCAACUCUUUGGCUACAGUGGCGACAAGUUCCUAUCUGAUCAAGGGCGAAGACAUCAGUACAAUUUUUUUUUAACAUUUAAAGUGCAAUCAAGGAGAAAAUAGAGAUAAAAUGCAAUAGAAUAUAAAUAUGCAAUGCAACGACAACAUUACUCUAAAUGGAAUAUGAUGACAAUGAAUGCAAUGAAAAAUGACAUAUCAUGCACGACUUAGGGACAAAAUAAGCUUAGAAUAUUGACAGAUUUUUAUGCUAUUUUCAGUAUUAUCAUAC
Hibiscus syriacus is the source of this 1285-nucleotide long non-coding RNA. RefSeq lists it as uncharacterized. The transcript has 5 exons. The record is from RefSeq and is a predicted model, not a curated record. NCBI's taxonomy places the organism in Eukaryota, Viridiplantae, Streptophyta, Magnoliopsida, Malvales, Malvaceae.